UGCCCCCUGGGAACAGGGUGCCUGAGUGCGACUCUUAGGCCUGUAUGAUAAAACUGGACUUCUAAUUCCCUCUUUCACGUAAAUCAGAGCCAGUCAUAUCAUUUCUGCCCACAACCCAACAGCCGUAGCGAGCCACAGGGCCCUACCUGACUGCAGAUGGCUGGACGCAUGGGGAGCAGAAGGAAGGUAAUGAACAACACCACCUCCACCAGCCUUUAACAGGAGUGACGUGGCUCUACGUGCGCUUACAGAAAAGGCCUUCAAGACCUGCCGUUAGCUGGAAAAAUAAGAAGAGCAAGCUACAAAACUCACAUAGAAUAUGAUCCCACUUGGCACACAGAGGCCGUGUGAGCACAGCCAGAUGGCGGCUGCUUACAAGCAAGAGGAGGCCUCAGAACGAACCCUACCUUGCCAGACCUUGAUCUUGAACUACCCAGCCUCCAGACUGUGAGAAAAUAAACAUCUGUUGUGUAAG
Molecule: long non-coding RNA, 475 nt
Filed under: Homo sapiens (human)
Lineage: Eukaryota; Metazoa; Chordata; Mammalia; Primates; Hominidae
Description: non-protein coding lnc-UBE2F-1:1
Source: RNAcentral